Molecule: long non-coding RNA, 3748 nt
Organism: Hemicordylus capensis (graceful crag lizard)
Lineage: Eukaryota; Metazoa; Chordata; Lepidosauria; Squamata; Cordylidae
Exons: 3
Source: RefSeq, a predicted model, not a curated record
UAAUAACCACCACCACGGGAUGCUGUGCUGGGGUUGAAUAGGGCCAGUUACAACAUGUUGUGUUUGGGAUCUGGUUCAGGUUCAAAGCAAUCAAGGAAUUUUAGGUUUGUAUUCUGUUCUCAUUCACAAAAUAAACCUUUCAACUGGUUUUUGGGUUCAAAUUUAGGUUCAGCUCAGCUCCCUUACUGACACAGACAUUCAGGAGAAUCAUUGGGUACAGUCUUCUUAAGAACUGACCACUUUAGAAUGCAAGUGAGAGAAUUGCAUGUUUGAAUGCUCCCCCGUGUUUAAAAAUCCCUACUUGUGGAGACUUGUGGCAUGAGAAGAGUUCUAGUCCAGUUCUUUGUGGUGUCCUUCCACCCUCUGCCUGUUCAAAAGGCUGAGGGCAUGGACAUUGGAGCAACAGGAAGUAAUAAAACACACUUCCUGUUGCUCUAACUUUCCUACUGUCAGGGCACAGCAAAGAGGCGGAAAGGGCAAGGGCAGCAGGCAGUAAGUACAGGUCAGGUGGGGCCACAGGCAGUGGUGAGACUGUGUGGGGAGCCAAUCCGCCACCUAUAUGUGGCUGCUGCCCUAUGCUCAGAAGUUAUCAGUUCUGAGUGAGAAGCAAUAUGGCUCCAGGACAGGAUUGGAAAAGUAAUGGGGAUUGGAGGGCCCAAGAUGGUUGCACUCAAGUAGAGUGAAGUAACUUACAAUAUUACUUGCAUACAAGAGUGAGAUUUAUUAGAAUAAUUAAUACCUGGAAAUAUAUCUGUUCAAACUAUAUAUAGUAUAGGUUUUCCUCAGGGCAAUGCUAAAGAAGACAAUAUCAUUAACUCAUAACACAUAAUACAGUACAACAUUAAAUCUGAAUCUGGAACCCUAAGUUGCCCACUGAGAUGCUUUUAAUGAGUGGUUUGUGUAUUAUAACCCACUAGCUGACCGGGCGCAUAGUGUCUGUGCCCCUAGUUUGACUCUUCCCCUUCACUUCUCCCUGUCUUCUGGCAGUGUCUCUGAUGCCCACCCGGUCUGCUUCUCUCCACCCCCCACCCCCUGCUCACGGUUUCUCCUGCCUCUUGCCGCCACCUCCUCUUGCUGGCGGCCCGGCCACCUCCUGUCCCUGGUGGGCACGCAGGCCACCACUGCCUCCUCACCGCGGCUGGAGCCGCCACAGCCGUCGCCAUUUCCCCCGGCAGCAGCUCAAUGGCCUUCCGCCGCCCAUGAGCUCCCGCCACCUCAGCCUAUCAGGCGCCUCUGCUGCCCAGCCAAUCAGCUAGGCGCCGGGACGCACAUUCUAAAGGCACACCCAGGAGGAUUAAAUAUAUAGAUAUCUGGGCCUGCCUGGACACUCUGUUUACUGCAGAAGCUAUUAUGGAGGUGUCCAGCAACUCAUUUUAUGUGAUUAGAUUGGAUCUGUUUCAGUUUGUGACUCCUGAGAAUGUGGAUGACCUGCUUCAGACAGUAUGCCCUAUCAGCUGCUGUCUUGACCCUUGCCCAAUUUGGUUGAUUUUAUCUGAUUGUGGGAUUAUUGGAGGGGGUCUGGUAAAUAUCAUAAAUGCUUCUUUGAGGGAGGACAGGAUGCCUCCUUGUCUUAAGGAGACUAUCAUUAGACCAUACAUGAAGAAACCUGCACUGGACCCCUUGGACAUAGGCGAUUACAGACCUGUCUCCAAACUCCCAUGGCUGGGCAAAGUGACUGAGAGGGUGAUCGCCUCUCAAAUCUAGGCGGAAGAGACAGAUUAUCUACAUAUACCCAUUCCAAACUGGCUGCGGGGUUGAGACUUUCUUGGAAAUGAUAUAACUUUCCUGAGUGCCUGCCUGGAAGUGGUAAUGGGCUGGAUGAGGGAUAACUAAAGCUGAAUCCAGCCACAGUCCUGAUCUGGAUCAACCCUCCGCCAUUGUGGCUGCUGCUUUCCCUGGGGAAGCUACUGUCAGCACAAACAGGAAAUUCCCUCCUGAGGUAAAUUGCAGCUGUGGAGGAACCCAAACAGAAGAGAGACGGCAGUGGGGCAAAAGAUUACUGUAAAUCUUCUCUUCCCCACGGCACUCCUGGAUCCUGAGCCUCUUAUAAUGGCUGCCAUUUAUAAAACAUGGUAAGGACAAUUAAUGCAGAAAGUGGCUUUCCCUCACUACUGAAGGUCAAACUACAUGUUAUGGAGUUUAUGUAACAUGACUACAUAACAUGUUACAUGCCCUCAACUCCUGCCUGUAGGCUUCCAGCGGCAUCUGGUGGGCCACUGUGUGAAAGAGGAUGCUGGACUAGAUGGGCCUGGGGCCUGAUCCAGCAGGGCUGUUCUUAUUUAUGUUCUUAUUACAUGUUAUGUGACAGGUUGGAUGCACUCAAAAAUCUGAGAUUUCUGAAGUGGGGCCAAGUGAUGACUGAGGGGAGAUAUCACUUGGGGCUGUCACUUAGAGGAAGGAACGGACUUGCUCUCUGUAGCUCCUGAGAUCAGGGCUAGAUCCAAUAGGUUGAAAUUGGAAGGAAGCAGGUUUAGGUUAGAUAUUAGGAGGGAUUUUCUAACUAUAAAGAGCUGUUUAGCUUUGGAAAAAUCCGCCUUAUGCAAUGGUGGGCGCUCUGUCACUAGAGGUUUUCGGGCAGAGGCUGUCUGGCCAUCUGUCAGGGAUUAUGUACUUUCCUGCACUGCGUAGGAUGUUGGACUAGAGUCUGAGACCUCCAAGGUCCUGUGAUUCUAUGAUGUGAUAAUACUGCCAACCCUGGAUAAAAAGGUGGGGAAUAUCUGGUACUGGGGUACAGUCCAUCUGCAAAAAGGUAGAGUUUAGAGCCAAAGGGGUGAAGCCUAGCAGCAGCCCCAACAUAACCAAGGACUAACUUUUGCUGCUCUUCUGUCUAGGGACAAACAAACAAACAAGGCUAGAGAACCAGGGUAUUUUUGGCAAACUGGCAAUUGUAAUUAUCAUACGUAGAAUGGUUCCGCAGCCCUUGGAGAUCUUGGUUCAAAUGAAAGCCUGAAUGACUGGAUGAAGGAUGAAGGAACAUGUCCUUGGAUGGAGCAGCUGCAAUGGGAAUGGGGAACUCACAGUUGGAUGGCAGCUUGUAGUUGCAGCCGUUCUGGGCUGUCGCUCUGUGUCAUGCGAAACACCGUGUUGUCAGUGGUGGUGAAUGUCUCCAGUGAGGAAGGGGAUGCUGAAGCGGCGGCAAUGAAAAACCAUCUGCCAAGAUACUGCAAAGGGAACUAGGUGAGAGUCAAGGCAAUAUUCAGACCAAACUGCACAUUUAUGUACAAAAAACAUAUAUUUAAAACCUCAUGGCUUUUCCCCUAGCAGCUUAAGGAAAAGAGGGUUUUCAGCAGGGAAGCUAUGUGUGCGGUACUUAAACCCUUCCCCUGUUUUUCUGCUGUCAUAUCUGAAACCCUAUAAGGGAGAAGCACUGAAGGGUAAGCAAGGUAGAAUUGUAGUAGCUACCAUGUGGAUUUUGGGUUGCAGGCAUCAAACUAUAUUGGGCAGGCCUUGCUGCGAUUAAAUUGUCUGGCCUUGCCUUGUGUACCCCAAGAAGAAAAAACAACAACACUUUCCAACCAGAUAUACAUGGAAAAUAACCCUUGUGAUAGUACACAUAAAUAUACUAGAUUCCAAGGAGUCCCCCCAGCCACCAUAUUAAGAUCUGGCUAAUGUGCUUCUUAGUUAGCAGACAGCCAUGUAAGUGUUACUUUGAAAUAUCUCAAAACAUCUUUAACAAAGCAUGUUACUAGCCUUAAUGGAAGUGGAAUUUGGUUUGAUAAUUGCUAUGCUAUAACUCCCACCCCAUGUU